UACGGGGGGGGCAAGCGUUGUUCGGAAUUACUGGGCGUAAAGGGCUCGUAGGCGGCCAACUAAGUCAGACGUGAAAUCCCUCGGCUUAACCGGGGAACUGCAUCUGAUACUGGAUGGCUUGAGAUUGGGAGAGGGAUGCGGAAUUCCAGGUGUAGCGGUGAAAUGCGCAGAUAUCAGGAGGAACACCGGUGGCGAAGGCGGGUCUCUGGGCCGAUACUGACGCUGAGGAGCGAAAGCGUGGGGAGCGAACAGG
Molecule: ribosomal RNA, 253 nt
Filed under: uncultured bacterium
Lineage: Bacteria
Description: partial 16S ribosomal RNA
Rfam family: Bacterial small subunit ribosomal RNA
Source: RNAcentral